UACGUAGGCCGCGAGCGUUGUUCGGAGUUACUGGGCGUAAAGAGUGCGUAGGCGGUUUUCUAAGUUUGGUGUGAAAUCUCCCGGCUUAACUGGGAGGGUGCGCCGAAGACUGGAAGGCUUGAGUAUGGGAGAGGUAAGCGGAAUUCCUGGUGUAGCGGUGAAAUGCGUAGAUAUCAGGAGGAACACCUGCGGUGUAGACGGCUUACUGGACCAUAACUGACGCUGAGGCACGAAAGCGUGGGUAGCAAACAGG
This 253-nucleotide ribosomal RNA is filed under the name uncultured bacterium. Its description in RNAcentral is "partial 16S ribosomal RNA". It matches the Rfam family "Bacterial small subunit ribosomal RNA", at positions 524 to 776 of the family's 1533-position model. The record is from RNAcentral.